UGGCCAUGAAACUGGCAAGGAAGUAACAGCUUUCCAGGAAGUGUUAAUGUCUCAGGGUCUCCAAACUCACUUCUAACUAAAAAAGGUCUUACUUUGGGACUGGCUGCACAUGGCUAGUUACAUCACAGCAGGUGGAGUUUGCUCGGUUGUCAUCACCAAAGACCUAAAAUAUGUAACGGCAAGGGGCCAGAGUUAUGGACCAGGAGCCAAGGGACGGCAGGACAAAGAACGAGGGUGCCACCCACAAAUGAAACUCCGAGGAAGACCACGAGAGGCUGCUGAAAUUGCAAAAGAAACUUGUAAUCACAUCUCCGUCCUCCUCUACCCAUUUUAUCUGGGCCGAGGAAUUGGAAGUGUGUAGAGGUAGAUUCAGAACAUCAGAUCUUCCCUUGGUUGUGGAAUUAAAUGGUAAAUAAUGCAUGGCUGGGAGCUUCCCUCUCUCUGAGUUGCAUCUCUUCU
This is a long non-coding RNA of Etheostoma cragini (Arkansas darter), 459 nucleotides long. RefSeq lists it as uncharacterized. The record is from RefSeq and is a predicted model, not a curated record. The transcript has 4 exons. Lineage: Eukaryota; Metazoa; Chordata; Actinopteri; Perciformes; Percidae.